ACAAUAUCAUCCGCAAACAUCAUAAAGUCCGUAAUAAGAUUAGGCCUCUUGAAGUCCAAAUCACAAAAAUUUGCCCCUUAAAACCAAACCAAGUUGGCUAAAAUAGCGCAAAGUGAAGAAGUUAAUUGUAUAAAAGGGAAGAAAUAAAGAAUGUAGCUCUCUAGCAUGAAAAAGAAUAGGUCAAUUUUCCUCUUCACCGUUUGCAAUGCAACAUCAUAAAACAGGUGAGUUGCUUUUUCUUUUCUCUUUUAAACUGUUGUGCACAUGAUGCCUGAGACAUCACUGUGCAUCUCG
This 294-nucleotide unclassified non-coding RNA is filed under the name Hevea brasiliensis (rubber tree). Lineage: Eukaryota; Viridiplantae; Streptophyta; Magnoliopsida; Malpighiales; Euphorbiaceae. The record is from RNAcentral.